This 486-nucleotide ribosomal RNA is filed under the name uncultured bacterium. RNAcentral's name for it is "partial 16S ribosomal RNA". It matches the Rfam family "Bacterial small subunit ribosomal RNA", at positions 30 to 507 of the family's 1533-position model. The record is from RNAcentral.
ACUGAACGCUGGCGGCAUGCCUUACACAUGCAAGUCGAACGGCAGCACGGGUGCUUGCACCUGGUGGCGAGUGGCGAACGGGUGAGUAAUACAUCGGAACAUGUCCUGUAGUGGGGGAUAGCCCGGCGAAAGCCGGAUUAAUACCGCAUACGAUCUACGGAUGAAGGCGGGGGACCUUCGGGCCUCGCGCUAUAGGGUUGGCCGAUGGCUGAUUAGCUAGUUGGUGGGGUAAAGGCCUACCAAGGCGACGAUCAGUAGCUGGUCUGAGAGGACGACCAGCCACACUGGGACUGAGACACGGCCCAGACUCCUACGGGAGGCAGCAGUGGGGAAUUUUGGACAAUGGGCGAAAGCCUGAUCCAGCAAUGCCGCGUGUGUGAAGAGGGCCUUCGGGUUGUAAAGCACUUUUGUCCGGAAAGAAAUCCUUGGCCCUAAUACGGUCGGGGGAUGACGGUACCGGAAGAAUAAGCACCGGCUAACUACGUG